Molecule: ribosomal RNA, 253 nt
Filed under: uncultured bacterium
Lineage: Bacteria
Description: partial 16S ribosomal RNA
Rfam family: Bacterial small subunit ribosomal RNA
Source: RNAcentral
GACAGAGGGUGCGAACGUUGUUCGGAAUUACUGGGCGUAAAGCGCGUGUAGGCGGCAGCGCAAGUCGGGCGUGAAAUCCCACGGCUCAACCGUGGAAGUGCACUCGAAACUGCGCAGCUAGAGUCCUGGAGAGGAAGGUGGAAUGCUUGGUGUAGAGGUGAAAUUCGUAGAUAUCAAGCGGAACACCGGUGGCGAAGGCGCUCUGCUAGGCCGCAACUGACACUGAGGGACGAAAGCUAGGGGAGCGAAUGGG